This 200-nucleotide ribosomal RNA is filed under the name Vibrio vulnificus. RNAcentral describes it as "partial 16S ribosomal RNA". It matches the Rfam family "Bacterial small subunit ribosomal RNA", at positions 905 to 1104 of the family's 1533-position model. The record is from RNAcentral. Lineage: Bacteria; Pseudomonadati; Pseudomonadota; Gammaproteobacteria; Vibrionales; Vibrionaceae.
AUGAAUUGACGGGGGCCCGCACAAGCGGUGGAGCAUGUGGUUUAAUUCGAUGCAACGCGAAGAACCUUACCUACUCUUGACAUCCAGAGAAGCCAGCGGAGACGCAGGUGUGCCUUCGGGAACUCUGAGACAGGUGCUGCAUGGCUGUCGUCAGCUCGUGUUGUGAAAUGUUGGGUUAAGUCCCGCAACGAGCGCAACCC